Molecule: ribosomal RNA, 119 nt
Filed under: Pteropus alecto (black flying fox)
Lineage: Eukaryota; Metazoa; Chordata; Mammalia; Chiroptera; Pteropodidae
Source: RNAcentral
GUCUACGGCCAUACCACCCUGAACAAGCCCCAUCCCAUCUGAUCUCAGAAGCUAAGCAGGGUCAGGCCUGGUUAGUACUUGGAUGGGAGACCACCUAGGAAAACCAGGUGCUGUAGGCG